CGAGCGGCAGCGCGGGGCAACCUGGCGGCGAGCGGCGAACGGGUGAGUAAUACAUCGGAACGUGCCCAGACGUGGGGGAUAACUACUCGAAAGAGUGGCUAAUACCGCAUACGAUCUACGGAUGAAAGCGGGGGAUCGCAAGACCUCGCGCGUCUGGAGCGGCUGAUGGCAGAUUAGGUAGUUGGUGGGGUAAAGGCUCACCAAGCCUGCGAUCUGUAGCUGGUCUGAGAGGACGACCAGCCACACUGGGACUGAGACACGGCCCAGACUCCUACGGGAGGCAGCAGUGGGGAAUUUUGGACAAUGGGCGAAAGCCUGAUCCAGCCAUUCCGCGUGCAGGAUGAAGGCCCUCGGGUUGUAAACUGCUUUUGUACGGAACGAAAAAGCUCCGGCUAAUACCUGGAGUCCAUGACGGUACCGUAAGAAUAAGCACCGGCUAACUACGUGCCAGCAGCCGCGGUAAUACGUAGGGUGCAAGCGUUAAUCGGAAUUACUGGGCGUAAAGCGUGCGCAGGCGGUUUUGUAAGACAGAGGUGAAAUCCCCGGGCUCAACCUGUGAACUGCCUUUGUGACUGCAAGGCUGGAGUGCGGCAGAGGGGGAUGGAAUUCCGCGUGUAGCAGUGAAAUGCGUAGAUAUGCGGAGGAACACCGAUGGCGAAUGCAAUCCCCUGGGCCUGCACUGACGCUCAUGCACGAAAGC
This 700-nucleotide ribosomal RNA is filed under the name uncultured Acidovorax sp. RNAcentral describes it as "bacterial SSU rRNA". It matches the Rfam family "Bacterial small subunit ribosomal RNA", at positions 63 to 760 of the family's 1533-position model. The record is from RNAcentral. Lineage: Bacteria; Pseudomonadati; Pseudomonadota; Betaproteobacteria; Burkholderiales; Comamonadaceae.